RNA transcript from Prunus persica (peach), 1531 nucleotides. RefSeq lists it as uncharacterized. The transcript has 7 exons. Lineage: Eukaryota; Viridiplantae; Streptophyta; Magnoliopsida; Rosales; Rosaceae. The record is from RefSeq and is a predicted model, not a curated record.
UUCGAACCAGCUGGUUGGGGGCAGCCAUGGAAGAUCUGCACAUGGAUGGGGAGCCGUCGAUCUUUGUUUGGGAGGUGCGCUGCAAAUCCAGCCGUCCUUUUGCUCUUCGUCUGAGAGAUUUCUGGUGGGAAGAUUUUUCAUCCUUUCUACAGCCUUCCACUCAGACUUCCAUCUCUCUUGCUUUCGAAUUUCUGCAUCCUUUGUCUUCCGGGAUGCAUCCCAUUUUCAUUUCAUGAAUUUUAUUGUUGGCUGGGAGAUUUUUCGUUUUUUGAAAUAGAAACAGGGUUUGCAUUUCUCCCCUAUUAAUUUUGAGAUUUUUCAUUCCCCCUGUCGGCUACCUCUACAUCCUUCUCACAGGCACUUCUAUCAUAGAUUGUGACUUUGAACUAUGAUUCACCAUCAUAACGGAAAACCAGGAAAUUCCCAACUUCUAAAUGAUGAUCCUUCACAAAACCCUGUCAACCCUUAGAGAAGAACAAGCCAUUCUCUCUCUUCUUCCAAUUCCACAGCCCUCCCUUUCCCACUUGGGCCUCUAAGAGAACAUUUGUGAAGUGAUCCUCCGUUGAAGUUCUUGAUAAACACCGGUGAUAUAUGCUGCAAAAUUCAAUAGCCUUUGAAUUGAACAUCCUAUGAUGGGAUUGAACAUGCUUUUGAAUUGGUAAUGGCAGGUGACUCUUUGUGUAUGAAGAAAGGCUUGCGAUUGCCCUUGCUGCUGUUGUGGGACAGAGCCAGUGUAUAUGUACAGAAGUUGUGAUGCUGGGUUCGCUUCUAACCAGGUUGGUUGGCCUGGUUGCGGGGCAAUGAUGGAAGAGGUCGGUCUACUGUUGGAGAUUAUCUGGAGGCUUCGAUUUUUAUAGGAGUGGCGUGCGUUGGUCUUCUUCUUCAAAUCGAACUCCAGCUUUCUCUCUGUUUCAGUCUCUUUCUCUCACUGAUCUUUGCUAGGGACUGGAAUGGAUACGCAGGAUACAUCUCCUUCAAUGUUGCUAUUCUUUGACAAGGAAAGAUUUAUAUUUAAUGCUGGAGAGUAUGAAUCACAGUUAGGCAGUCAUCCAAUUGCUUCAGAUUCAAUUGUCUCUCACCUCUCUGACGUAUAAGCAAUCACUGAAGCAAAGAAGCGAAGAUAACUUUCAGGUGAGCUUGGGUACGAAAUCCAAAUACGAGAAGCAGUCGUUCGCCCAAAUUGUUUAACCAUUCUUCGCUUUAAAGAGUCAAGACCUCCAUCAAAGAGAAGAAAAGUCAUGAAGAAAUUGCAAAACAAAGCCCAACGAAUUAAACGUGCUGCUCAAAACUAUUCAAAUUUUGCUAUUUUAAUAGCUCCUUCCCACUAUUAACAUCUCAAUGUAUAUACAAACAUGUGUACUAUUUUAACAUAACAAGUAGCCUGUAAAAUAUGUGAUUUCCUUUUUUUUCACUUAUACUUCCUUAGUUAAGCAUAAUGCUACGAGUUAAAUCUCAUUGUAUAUAUAAACAAUUUUAUUUUGUCUACGUAAUUUCAAAACCCGCAGCAUCGCGCGGGCUUUAUUGCUAGUAA